This 351-nucleotide ribosomal RNA is filed under the name Gobiodon ater (black coralgoby). RNAcentral describes it as "partial 12S ribosomal RNA". It matches the Rfam family "Bacterial small subunit ribosomal RNA", at positions 865 to 1384 of the family's 1533-position model. The record is from RNAcentral. Lineage: Eukaryota; Metazoa; Chordata; Actinopteri; Gobiiformes; Gobiidae.
UUUUUCGCCAGGGAACUACGAGCCUCAGCUUAAAACCCAAAGGACUUGGCGGUGCUUUAGACCCCCCUAGAGGAGCCUGUCCUAGAACCGAUGAUCCCCGUUUAACCUCACCCCCUCUUGUUUUUCCCGCCUGUAUACCUCCGUCUUCAGCUCACCCCGUGAGGGCCUAGUAGUGAGCGGAAUUGGCACUGCCUAAAACGCCAGGUCGAGGUGCAGCUUAUGAGGGGGGAAGAGAUGGGCUACAUUUUCUGCCCCAGAAAAUACGGAUUUUGCCCUGAAAAAGCAUCUGAAGGUGGAUUUAGCAGUAAGGAGAAAUUAGAGCGUUCUCCUGAAGCCGGCCCUGAAGCGCGC